This 253-nucleotide ribosomal RNA is filed under the name uncultured bacterium. RNAcentral describes it as "partial 16S ribosomal RNA". It matches the Rfam family "Bacterial small subunit ribosomal RNA", at positions 524 to 776 of the family's 1533-position model. The record is from RNAcentral.
UACAUGGGGUGCAAACGUUGCUCGGAAUUAUUGGGCGUAAAGCGCGCGUAGGCGGUUAUCUAAGUCGGAUGUGAAAGCCCUCGGCUUAACUGAGGAAGUGCACCCGAAACUGGGUAGCUAGAGUACUAAAGAGGGUCGCGGAAUUCCCGGUGUAGAGGCGAAAUUCGUAGAUAUCGGGAGGAACACCGGUGGCGAAGGCGGCGACCUGGGUAGAUACUGACGCUGAGGCGCGAAAGCGUGGGGAGCAAACAGG